RNAcentral lists this unclassified non-coding RNA (237 nucleotides) under fungal sp. RNAcentral's name for it is "partial internal transcribed spacer region". The stretch from base 1 to 46 matches the Rfam family "Eukaryotic small subunit ribosomal RNA", at positions 1786 to 1831 of the family's 1831-position model. The record is from RNAcentral. Lineage: Eukaryota; Fungi.
AAGUCGUAACAAGGUUUCCGUAGGUGAACCUGCGGAAGGAUCAUUAACACGUAUCCAACGUUAAACCCCCCGUGCACACAGCGGGGUAGGGUAUUAAAGUAGUAGUCCAUGCAAAGCAACCUGGUUUCUUUGAAGCAGAAAGUGUGAUGGCGUGAGCCGGAGAACGGACCGAGUGGUAGUUCAAAGGUGCCUUCUGUCGCGCACUGUGGAAAGGUAACAAUGGAUAUCUUGGUUCUC